AGCGAAAGCGUGGGGAGCGAACAGGAUUAGAUACCCUGGUAGUCCACGCCGUAAACGAUGAGUGCUAAGUGUUAGGGGGUUUCCGCCCCUUAGUGCUGCAGCUAACGCAUUAAGCACUCCGCCUGGGGAGUACGGUCGCAAGACUGAAACUCAAAGGAAUUGACGGGGGCCCGCACAAGCGGUGGAGCAUGUGGUUUAAUUCGAAGCAACGCGAAGAACCUUACCAGGUCUUGACAUCCUCUGACAAUCCUAGAGAUAGGACNUCCCCUUCGGGGGCAGAGUGACAGGUGGUGCAUGGUUGUCGUCAGCUCGUGUCGUGAGAUGUUGGGUUAAGUCCCGCAACGAGCGCAACCCUUGAUCUUAGUUGCCAGCAUUCAGUUGGGCACUCUAAGGUGACUGCCGGUGACAAACCGGAGGAAGGUGGGGAUGACGUCAAAUCAUCAUGCCCCUUAUGACCUGGGCUACACACGUGCUACAAUGGACAGAACAAAGGGCAGCGAAACCGCGAGGUUAAGCCAAUCCCACAAAUCUGUUCUCAGUUCGGAUCGCAGUCUGCAACUCGACUGCGUGAAGCUGGAAUCGCUAGUAAUCGCGGAUCAGC
This 601-nucleotide ribosomal RNA is filed under the name Bacillus subtilis. RNAcentral describes it as "bacterial SSU rRNA". It matches the Rfam family "Bacterial small subunit ribosomal RNA", at positions 752 to 1353 of the family's 1533-position model. The record is from RNAcentral. Lineage: Bacteria; Bacillati; Bacillota; Bacilli; Caryophanales; Bacillaceae.